CCUACGGGCGUCAGCAGUGGGGAAUAUUGCGCAAUGGGCGAAAGCCUGACGCAGCGACGCCGCGUGAGGGAUGAAGGUCUUCGGAUCGUAAACCUCUGUCAGCAGGGAAGAACGGUCACUGUGCUAAUCAGCAGUGAAUUGACGGUACCUGCAAAGGAAGCACCGGCUAACUCCGUGCCAGCAGCCGCGGUAAUACGGAGGGUGCGAGCGUUAAUCGGAAUUACUGGGCGUAAAGCGCUCGUAGGCGGUAUGUCAAGUCAAGGGUGAAAUCCCCGCGCGCAACGUGGGAACUGCCUUUGAAACUGGCAAACUGGAGUGUGAGAGAGGAUAGUGGAAUUCCAGGUGUAGGAGUGAAAGCCGUAGAUAUCUGGAGGAACAUCAGUGGCGAAGGCGACUAUCUGGCACAUAACUGACGCUGAGGAGCGAAAGCGUGGGUAGCAAACAGGAUUAGAUACCCUGGUAGUC
Molecule: ribosomal RNA, 465 nt
Filed under: uncultured bacterium
Lineage: Bacteria
Description: partial 16S ribosomal RNA
Rfam family: Bacterial small subunit ribosomal RNA
Source: RNAcentral